Molecule: ribosomal RNA, 457 nt
Filed under: uncultured bacterium
Lineage: Bacteria
Description: bacterial SSU rRNA
Rfam family: Bacterial small subunit ribosomal RNA
Source: RNAcentral
UACGGAAGGCAGCAGUGGGGAAUAUUGCACAAUGGGCGAAAGCCUGAUGCAGCUAUGCCGCGUGUAUGAAGAAGGCCUUAGGGUUGUAAAGUACUUUCAUCGGGGAGGAAAAACAAAACUAAUAAUUUUAUUUCUUGACGUUACCCGAAAAAGAAGCACCGGCUAACUCCGUGCCAGCAGCCGCGGUAAUACGGAGGGUGCUAGCGUUAAUCAGAAUUACUGGGCGUAAAGAGCACGUAGGUGGUUUUUUUAAGUCAGAUGUGAAAUCCCUGGGCUUAACCUAGGAACUGCAUUUUGAAACUGAAAUACUAGAGUAUCGUAGAGGGAGGUAGAAUUCUAGGUGUAGUCGGUGAAAUGCGUAGAUAUCUGGAGGAAUACCUGUGGCGAAAGCGGCCUCCUAAACGAAUACUGACACUGAGGUGCGAAAGCGUGGGGAGCGAAACGAGGAUUAGAUACC